UACGUAGGGUGCAAGCGUUGUCCGGAUUUAUUGGGCGUAAAGCGCGCGCAGGCGGUUUUUUAAGUCUGGGGUUUAAGUUCGGGGCUCAACCCCGUAUCGCCCUGGAAACUGGGAGACUGGAGUGCAGGAGAGGAAAGUGGAAUUCCACGUGUAGCGGUGAAAUGCGUAGAUAUGUGGAGGAACACCAGUGGCGAAGGCGACUUUCUUGCCUGUAACUGACGCUGAGGCGCGAAAGCGUGGGGAGCAAACAGG
This 252-nucleotide ribosomal RNA is filed under the name uncultured bacterium. Its description in RNAcentral is "partial 16S ribosomal RNA". It matches the Rfam family "Bacterial small subunit ribosomal RNA", at positions 524 to 776 of the family's 1533-position model. The record is from RNAcentral.